GAUGAACGCUGACAGAAUGCUUAACACAUGCAAGUCUUUGGCGAAGCUGUGCUUGCACAGCCUAGCCAAGGCGGACGGGUGAGUAACGCGUAAGGAACUUGCCCUGCAGUCAGGGAUAACAGACGGAAACGACUGAUAAGACCUGGUAAAGUCAGGCGGACUCAUGUCCAGCCUGAUGAAAAGAGAUGCUGCAGGAGAGCCUUGCGUCCUAUUAGCUUGUUGGUGGGGUAACGGCCCACCAAGGCGAUGAUAGGUAGCCGGCCUGAGAGGGUGGACGGCCACAAGGGGACUGAGAUACGGACCUUACUCCUACGGGAGGCAGCAGUGGGGAAUAUUGGACAAUGGGGGCAACCCUGAUCCAGCAAUCCUGUGUGCACGAUGAAGGUUUUCGGAUUGUAAAGUGCUUUCAGCAGGGAAGAAAAAAUGACGGUACCUGCAGAAGAAGCGACGGCUAAAUACGUG
This 462-nucleotide ribosomal RNA is filed under the name uncultured bacterium. Its description in RNAcentral is "partial 16S ribosomal RNA". It matches the Rfam family "Bacterial small subunit ribosomal RNA", at positions 28 to 507 of the family's 1533-position model. The record is from RNAcentral.